RNAcentral lists this long non-coding RNA (542 nucleotides) under Nicotiana benthamiana. Its description in RNAcentral is "long non-coding RNA (NBEN_LNC041911)". The record is from RNAcentral. Lineage: Eukaryota; Viridiplantae; Streptophyta; Magnoliopsida; Solanales; Solanaceae.
CCAACGAAAAAGCACCCCAAAAACAUAGCAAUCUUAAGAGAAAUUAUAUAAUACAUCUGAAUACAUAAAUUAUAUUAAUUAAAAAUAUAUAUGAAUACAUUCAUGGAAUACAUCGAGUCAGUGAAUAAAAUAAAAUACAUGUAAUACAUUGAAUUAUGGAAAAAAAGAUAAUGAAUACAAUAAAACAUAUGGAAAUACAGCAAGAUACAUUGAAAUAUAUUAACAAAAAUUCAAGUUGCUCAGCCCCAAAACUCUGUCGUCUUCGUUCCUCUUUUUUUUGCAGCUGCUGUUCGUUCCCUUUUAUUAGGGUGGCAACUAAAGGUUGUUAAUAGAGCGGGGUGCUAUCAACUUUCUUUUUGGAAUUGAAGGAUAAUGAUCCUCUCUUAAGAAGGUGGGUGGAUGAUCAGGUUUGAGAGAGGUGGAGUGCUGGGCAUUCUUGGAGAAAGGGAAUGGGAAGGACGACUGAUGAUCUCUCAAGAAGGAGGACAUCUAUCCUCCAUUGAAGAGAAUGAGAAUGAGAUGGGGCUGCUGGUGGGUGAGAG